UCCAGAAAAAGAAAUGGGAACAACCAGUUAGCAUUCUUCAUGCCACUAAGGAAUCUUCCUUCCAAAUUAUGUGGAAGUGAGAAGUCAGCAUCUGCAAGCCAGGAAGAGAUCUCUCACCAGGAACCCAAUCGGCCCACAUCUUGAUUUUGGACUUCAGAGCCUUCAGAAACGUGAGAAAAUAAAUUUCUGUUGUUUAAG
This is a long non-coding RNA of Puma concolor (puma), 198 nucleotides long. RefSeq lists it as uncharacterized. Lineage: Eukaryota; Metazoa; Chordata; Mammalia; Carnivora; Felidae. The record is from RefSeq and is a predicted model, not a curated record.